RNAcentral lists this long non-coding RNA (236 nucleotides) under Panax ginseng (ginseng). Its description in RNAcentral is "long non-coding RNA (PGIN_LNC005581)". The record is from RNAcentral. Lineage: Eukaryota; Viridiplantae; Streptophyta; Magnoliopsida; Apiales; Araliaceae.
CCAACUGCAAUUUUCAAAGCAUCAUAAUGCAGCAUAUAAUUCUACUCACUCCACUCCAUACGCAGACAGCUACUCAUCACUAAGGAACACUUGGUUUCUUCUGGUUUCUGUAUUCAGAUUUAACGGAGUACUUAUUUAAUUUUGGAUUGCCAUUGGUAUGACGUUGGUCUUCUUGACAUUGCUGACGUCUGCAACAGGUAGAGCACGAUUAAAUGUCUAAUUUUAUUUCUUUUUUG